This 402-nucleotide ribosomal RNA is filed under the name Brucella melitensis. Its description in RNAcentral is "partial 16S ribosomal RNA". It matches the Rfam family "Bacterial small subunit ribosomal RNA", at positions 355 to 774 of the family's 1533-position model. Lineage: Bacteria; Pseudomonadati; Pseudomonadota; Alphaproteobacteria; Hyphomicrobiales; Brucellaceae. The record is from RNAcentral. RNAcentral also lists the same sequence under 3 other names.
UGGGGAAUAUUGGACAAUGGGCGCAAGCCUGAUCCAGCCAUGCCGCGUGAGUGAUGAAGGCCUUAGGGUUGUAAAGCUCUUUUGUCCGGGACGAUAAUGACGGUACCGGAAGAAUAAGCCCCGGCUAACUUCGUGCCAGCAGCCGCGGUAAUACGAAGGGGGCUAGCGUUGCUCGGAAUCACUGGGCGUAAAGGGCGCGUAGGCGGCCGAUUAAGUCGGGGGUGAAAGCCUGUGGCUCAACCACAGAAUUGCCUUCGAUACUGGUUGGCUUGAGACCGGAAGAGGACAGCGGAACUGCGAGUGUAGAGGUGAAAUUCGUAGAUAUUCGCAAGAACACCAGUGGCGAAGGCGGCUGUCUGGUCCGGUUCUGACGCUGAGGCGCGAAAGCGUGGGGAGCAAACA